This is a long non-coding RNA of Misgurnus anguillicaudatus (oriental weatherfish), 507 nucleotides long. RefSeq lists it as uncharacterized. Lineage: Eukaryota; Metazoa; Chordata; Actinopteri; Cypriniformes; Cobitidae. The record is from RefSeq and is a predicted model, not a curated record.
GUUUGGCCACACCCAACGGCGUUCCCGCCUCGAGAAAGGUUGGAGUUUCAUGAUGGAGAGCGACAUGUUUUCGUUGUUAUACAUUUUUUUGGUGGGAACGGUAGUGCAAACAUAGGCGCCGAUGUUUAUGUUUCUGCCGGAGGCAGAAUGAGAGCAUCAGGCCUUCAGAGGAGGAAGAUGCUGGAAGAGAAAACCAUGAAAAUGAAGGUUGACCUGAGGAGCAUUCUGACGAGGAUAAGACAGAUCAGGGACAUUCAUGACAACAGCCUGUAACACUACUAAAUAGUGUGGACGGAUGCUCAGCUGUUUCUGCAGGUGAAUUAAUAAAUCCUUGGAAAAAUUUUAAAAAAAAGCUCUUUCAUUUGUUAAGUCACUUUGGAUAAAAGUAACUGCUAAAUCAAUAAAUAUAUACAUUGUGGAAUUGAAAGAUAUUAAUGUAAAGAGGGUUUCCAAAUGAAUGUCAGUGUGAAAAAUCAGCAGUGGGCAUGAAAAUGUAAUUCAGGUGCA